CAGAACCUCCUGGAGAGUCAUCAAUGAAGACCUAAGCCUCAAGUGGUAAUGGAGAGAUUCUGCGGAGCCCAAGUAAUGUGCAUGAAUAUUGCGUAACAUUCUGUGGACGCAUACAAUAUUGUAGAAAUAAUUUAAUUGACAACCUGUAAUGAAAAGAGCGCUGGGCCAUCUCAGAACCCUGG
Suncus etruscus (white-toothed pygmy shrew) is the source of this 182-nucleotide long non-coding RNA. RefSeq lists it as uncharacterized. The transcript has 3 exons. The record is from RefSeq and is a predicted model, not a curated record. NCBI's taxonomy places the organism in Eukaryota, Metazoa, Chordata, Mammalia, Eulipotyphla, Soricidae.